RNAcentral lists this ribosomal RNA (468 nucleotides) under uncultured bacterium. Its description in RNAcentral is "partial 16S ribosomal RNA". It matches the Rfam family "Bacterial small subunit ribosomal RNA", at positions 28 to 507 of the family's 1533-position model. The record is from RNAcentral.
GACGAACGCUGGCGGCGUGCUUAACACAUGCAAGUCGAACGGAAAGGCCCUGCUUUUGUGGGGUGCUCGAGUGGCGAACGGGUGAGUAACACGUGAGUAACCUGCCCUUGACUUUGGGAUAACUUCAGGAAACUGGGGCUAAUACCGGAUAGGAGCUCCUGCUGCAUGGUGGGGGUUGGAAAGUUUCGGCGGUUGGGGAUGGACUCGCGGCUUAUCAGCUUGUUGGUGGGGUAGUGGCUUACCAAGGCUUUGACGGGUAGCCGGCCUGAGGGGGGGACCGGCCACAUUGGGACUGAGAUACGGACCAGACUCCUACGGGAGGCAGCAGUGGGGAAUAUUGCACAAUGGGCGGAAGCGUGAUGCAGCAACGCCGCGUGCGGGAUGACGGCCUUCGGGGUGUGAACCGCUUUCGCCUGUGACGAAGCGUGAGUGACGGUAAUGGGUAAAGAAGCACCGGCUAACUACGUG